GACGAACGCUGGCGGCGUGCUUAACACAUGCAAGUCGAGCGGAAAGGCCAUGAUUUUGUGGGGUGCUCGAGUGGCGAACGGGUGAGUAACACGUGAGUAACCUGCCCUUGACCUUGGGAUAAAUUCAGGAAAAUGGGGCUCAUACCGGAUAGGAGCUCCUGCUGCAUGGUGGGGGUUGGAAAGUUUCGGCUGUUGGGGAUCGACUCGCGGCUUAUCCGCUUGUUGGUGGGGUAGUGGCUUACCAGGUCUUUGACGGAUAGCCGGCAUGGGAGGGGGACCGGCCACAUGGGGACUGAGAGACGGCCCAGUCUCCUACGGGAGGCAGCAGUGGGGAAUAUUGCACAAUGGGCGGAAGCCAGAUGCAGCAACGCCGCGUGCGGGAUGACGGCCUUCGGGUUGUAAACCGCUGUCUCCGGUGACGAAGCGUGAGUGACGGUAAUGAGUAAAGAAGCACCGGCUAACUACGUG
RNAcentral lists this ribosomal RNA (468 nucleotides) under uncultured bacterium. RNAcentral's name for it is "partial 16S ribosomal RNA". It matches the Rfam family "Bacterial small subunit ribosomal RNA", at positions 28 to 507 of the family's 1533-position model. The record is from RNAcentral.